UACGGAGGGUGCGAGCGUUGUUCGGAAUUACUGGGCGUAAAGCGCGUGUAGGCGGCCUUCUAAGUCUGGUGUGAAAGCCCGGGGCUCACCCCCGGAAGUGCAUUGGAUACUGGAAGGCUGGAGUACCGGAGAGGAGGGUGGAAUUCCUGGUGUAGCGGUGAAAUGCGUAGAUAUCAGGAGGAACACCUGUGGCGAAGGCGGCCCUCUGGACGGAUACUGACGCUGAGACGCGAAAGCGUGGGGAGCAAACAGG
RNAcentral lists this ribosomal RNA (253 nucleotides) under uncultured bacterium. RNAcentral's name for it is "partial 16S ribosomal RNA". It matches the Rfam family "Bacterial small subunit ribosomal RNA", at positions 524 to 776 of the family's 1533-position model. The record is from RNAcentral.